RNAcentral lists this ribosomal RNA (733 nucleotides) under Massariosphaeria clematidis. Its description in RNAcentral is "SSU rRNA". It matches the Rfam family "Eukaryotic small subunit ribosomal RNA", at positions 363 to 1100 of the family's 1831-position model. Lineage: Eukaryota; Fungi; Ascomycota; Dothideomycetes; Pleosporales. The record is from RNAcentral.
CGGGGAAUAAGGGUUCGACUCCGGAGAGCGAGCCUGAGAGACGGCUAGCACAUCCAAGGAAGGCAGCAGGCGCGCAAAUUACCCAAUCCCGACACGGGGAGGUAGUGACAAUAAAUACUGAUACAGGGCUCUUUUGGGUCUUGUAAUUGGAAUGAGUACAAUUUAAACCUCUUAACGAGGAACAAUUGGAGGGCAAGUCUGGUGCCAGCAGCCGCGGUAAUUCCAGCUCCAAUAGCGUAUAUUAAAGUUGUUGCAGUUAAAAAGCUCGUAGUUGAACCUUGGGCCUGGCUGGCGGGUCCGCCUCACCGCGUGUACUCGACCGGCCGGGCCUUUCCUUCUGGAGAACCUCAUGCCCUUCACUGGGUGUGCUGGGGAACCAGGACUUUUACUGUGAAAAAAUUAGAGUGUUCAAAGCAGGCCUUUGCUCGAAUACGUUAGCAUGGAAUAAUAGAAUAGGACGUGCGAUCCUAUUUUGUUGGUUUCUAGGACCGCCGUAAUGAUUAAUAGGGACAGUCGGGGGCAUCAGUAUUCAAUUGUCAGAGGUGAAAUUCUUGGAUUUAUUGAAGACUAACUACUGCGAAAGCAUUUGCCAAGGAUGUUUUCAUUAAUCAGUGAACGAAAGUUAGGGGAUCGAAGACGAUCAGAUACCGUCGUAGUCUUAACCGUAAACUAUGCCGACUAGGGAUCGGGCGGUGUUUCUAUCUUGACCCGCUCGGCACCUUACGAGAAAUCA